GUCUGGUAUAUCCCUUCUCAACCCGGUUCAGACCCGAAGCGGGAUGGAUAAAGCGGGUCAGGCUCGUAACGGACAAAUGAAACGGUUUUUGGCUUUGUUCGCGGAACCGCGGGGAAGCACAAGACGGUGGGUCGUUUGAAUUGAAUUGAUUAUCUCUCUUCCCCCUCCUCUCUCUCUCAUUGGGAAACUGGGAAAUCAAAAGCCCUAGAGGACUAGGAACCAAUUUGAUCUUCAAAUUGUUUGAAUUCGAAGAGUCACUAGAAUCGUUCACUAGUUGCGGUUGGUGUCCAUAUUCCUGCCACAUACCUACCAAAUUGGUUGCAUGUUCAUACUUGUGAAUGAAUCCCAUUUUCAAUUUGUGCUGCCUGGAGGAAAGUCAAUGUCAGCUAAUGCUUGUAUAAUGACCCAAACAAGAGCUUCAGCUUAUGUAAGAUUCCUGAUGGUGCUUGUCUUACUUACAUUUGCAGUAUUGAAUAGUUGGACCAUGGACCAUGAUAGUUGAAAUGAUUUGUGAUUAGUUAUAGCCUUUCUGAUUACACACAAAAAGAUCCUGAAUCCUGAUUGGUGAAAAAUAGAUACUUUGCAGAUAUUGUUUUUACUCUUCAAUCAUGGCUCUAUAGAACUCUUUAUCUUUUUCACUCUAUUGAAUUUUAAUUCUGUAGAUAAUGUAAUUAACAUAG
Long non-coding RNA from Prunus dulcis (almond), 680 nucleotides. RefSeq lists it as uncharacterized. Lineage: Eukaryota; Viridiplantae; Streptophyta; Magnoliopsida; Rosales; Rosaceae. The transcript has 3 exons. The record is from RefSeq and is a predicted model, not a curated record.